RNAcentral lists this ribosomal RNA (821 nucleotides) under Campylobacter jejuni. Its description in RNAcentral is "bacterial SSU rRNA". It matches the Rfam family "Bacterial small subunit ribosomal RNA", at positions 712 to 1533 of the family's 1533-position model. The record is from RNAcentral. Lineage: Bacteria; Pseudomonadati; Campylobacterota; Epsilonproteobacteria; Campylobacterales; Campylobacteraceae.
AUUGCGAAGGCGAUCUGCUGGAACUCAACUGACGCUAAGGCGCGAAAGCGUGGGGAGCAAACAGGAUUAGAUACCCUGGUAGUCCACGCCCUAAACGAUGUACACUAGUUGUUGGGAUGCUAGUCAUCUCAGUAAUGCAGCUAACGCAUUAAGUGUACCGCCUGGGGAGUACGGUCGCAAGAUUAAAACUCAAAGGAAUAGACGGGGACCCGCACAAGCGGUGGAGCAUGUGGUUUAAUUCGAAGAUACGCGAAGAACCUUACCUGGGCUUGAUAUCCUAAGAACCUUAUAGAGAUAUGAGGGUGCUAGCUUGCUAGAACUUAGAGACAGGUGCUGCACGGCUGUCGUCAGCUCGUGUCGUGAGAUGUUGGGUUAAGUCCCGCAACGAGCGCAACCCACGUAUUUAGUUGCUAACGGUUCGGCCGAGCACUCUAAAUAGACUGCCUUCGUAAGGAGGAGGAAGGUGUGGACGACGUCAAGUCAUCAUGGCCCUUAUGCCCAGGGCGACACACGUGCUACAAUGGCAUAUACAAUGAGACGCAAUACCGCGAGGUGGAGCAAAUCUAUAAAAUAUGUCCCAGUUCGGAUUGUUCUCUGCAACUCGAGAGCAUGAAGCCGGAAUCGCUAGUAAUCGUAGAUCAGCCAUGCUACGGUGAAUACGUUCCCGGGUCUUGUACUCACCGCCCGUCACACCAUGGGAGUUGAUUUCACUCGAAGCCGGAAUACUAAACUAGUUACCGUCCACAGUGGAAUCAGCGACUGGGGUGAAGUCGUAACAAGGUAACCGUAGGAGAACCUGCGGUUGGAUCACCUCCUUUCUA